Podarcis lilfordi (Lilford's wall lizard) is the source of this 523-nucleotide non-coding RNA. NCBI's taxonomy places the organism in Eukaryota, Metazoa, Chordata, Lepidosauria, Squamata, Lacertidae. The record is from the annotation of a GenBank genome assembly.
UUUUUAUUACUCUUGCUAUAUAUAUCCUCACCUCACACCAAAAUGAUCUUAUCAUCGGGCAGUUAAUCAUCAUAUGUACUAAGUUCGCAUUUUUACUUCCACAUCUCCAGCAGUUGUCUGCAUUUGUUAUUUUCUUCUGGUAAAGUUUUGCUGGAGUCCAGGGGACUCUGAAUAUUAUUUUCUGCUGAAUAAGUCUUAAAUCCAUAGAAGCUAUUUCUGUUGAUUUUAUACUUGACUCCCAUUUAUCAUUUGUUAUCUGUACCCCUAACUCUUCACUCCAUUUUUGUCUGUCAUAUUCUAAAUCAUAUUUCUUUCUGUUGAGUAGGGUUUUAUAUAGUGCAAGUGUAGAGUUCUUUGCUUUUGUUGCAGAAAUUAAAUCUUGUAGGUGUUUCCAAUACUGCUAUAGCCUCAGGGCCAAACUGCCUUUCCAACAUAUGUUUCAAUUGGAUGUAUUGCCAUUGUGUUUCACUGGUUAAUCCAUACUUUACUUGCAAGGUCUUAUAUUCCACAAAUUUGUAAUUUU